Molecule: non-coding RNA, 93 nt
Filed under: bovine gut metagenome
Description: Glycine riboswitch
Rfam family: Glycine riboswitch aptamer
About the family: This family represents the bacterial glycine riboswitch. Glycine riboswitches usually consist of two metabolite-binding aptamers domains with similar structures in tandem.
Source: RNAcentral
AGCACUCUGGAGAGUCCCUGAAAAGGGCGCCGAAGGUGUACGGGAAACGGGUUAAAAGGUUUCCCAAUCUCUCAGGCAAAAGGACAGAGCAGU